Molecule: ribosomal RNA, 254 nt
Filed under: uncultured bacterium
Lineage: Bacteria
Description: partial 16S ribosomal RNA
Rfam family: Bacterial small subunit ribosomal RNA
Source: RNAcentral
GACGUAGGGUCCAAGCGUUGUCCGGAUUUACUGGGCGUAAAGAGCGCGUAGGCGGCCUGUUAAGUGUGAAGUGAAAUCUCCAGGGCUCAACCCGGAAACUGCUUUACAUACUGGCAAGCUGGAGUGAUGAAGAGGUUUGUGGAAUUCCUGGUGUAACGGUGAAAUGUGUUGAUAUCAGGAGGAACACCCAUGGCGAAGGCAGCAAACUGGUCAUCAACUGACGCUGAGGCGCGAAAGCGUGGGUAGCAAACAGG